AGUCAGAUACAAGGCACAAAAAAUAACACUGUUUCUGAAGAAAACAAUGGCCUUUCUGAUUCUGUUUUUAAGGUCUGUGCAGAAGUAGCGAUGCUGUUGCCCGGGAGCGGAGCAGUCACAAGGCGCAGUAGGUGGCAGUACACAUCUUAACGCCCUAGAAGAAUGAAUUGUGCAAGCAGCGUGAUUGCAGCGGAAACAAAUAUAUUGUUUUGGAUCCGUAUUAUUUAAGGUUGUAUACAGGUCCUGUGCUUUUCUCCUCUGUGAGAGAUCUGUUUUAAGUUGUCCAAGAUGCCUGUCUUUGGGUGAUAAUAGUAGGGCUGGCUCUGCUCUCAAUAAAACACUGACAUAUGAAAGCAGACAAC
Rhea pennata is the source of this 362-nucleotide long non-coding RNA. RefSeq lists it as uncharacterized. NCBI's taxonomy places the organism in Eukaryota, Metazoa, Chordata, Aves, Rheiformes, Rheidae. The record is from RefSeq and is a predicted model, not a curated record. The transcript has 3 exons.